CCUCUAGGCUCCCUCCAAAAGAAGACACAGGGAGGUGGUCCAGGCUUUGGCAGGCGUUACCAUGGUUACGGGCUACAAGCUGCAGCAGCGGGUCCUCUCUGGGCGCCAGAUGGAGAAACUGAGGCACACGGGAGUUACGCGGCUCGCCCUGCAUCAGCUACGUGGUAAACUGUGGAGUCGGGAACUGGACAAGGCUGUCUGUUUCCAGAAAUUAGGUUAUCAACCCCUUCCUGUGCUACCUGAAUGAAUCUCAAGCCUUUUGUCACUCCUUGCUAGUUUCAAAGACUUUAAAAGAAAGAUUCUAAUUGGGUCAUGUGCCCAAGGUCCCCUUGCGCUAAACAUUUCAGUACUAGUUGGUCACCUGAAAGGAAAUUAGAUUGCAUAAAAGGUUGGGAACGCUCUGGCUGGUGAGGCUCAGUUGGUUGGAGCAUUGUCCCAUGCACCGAAAGGUUAUGGGUUCGAUUCCUGGUCAGGGCACAUACCUCCGUUGCAGGUUUGAUCUCCUGGUAGGGGCAUGUACCAGAAGCAACUGAUCAAUGUUUCUCUCUCAUAUCGUGUUUCUCUCUUCCCCCCACCCCCUGCUUCCUCUCUGUCUAAAAUCAAUAAAUGUCCCUUUGGCUUUGGGCUGAGAGGAGGUGUAGAUGCAACUUUCUUCUGUCGUCCGGAAUCUGGGUUCAUCCGACACCAGCCGCCUCCACCAUGCCGCUGAAGUUCGACCCCAACGAGAUCAAGUCCUGUACCUGAGGUGCAUCCAUGGGAAGUCAGUGCCUUGUCUGCCCUGGCCCCCAAGAUCACCCCCCUGGGCCUGUCUCCAAAAAAGGGGAAAAUAGAACAUGUAAAUGAGCUUCCUGGUGCCAGAUCUGGCGAUGGGAGUGGAGGAGACCCGGGAGCACAGAGGUACCUCAAACGCUGUCCGCACCCCAUCUCCUGGGCUGCCCAGAUCUGGUGGCAGGCACAGACAGAGGGAAACAAGCCACGAGAGCAGAACCUCCUGGAGCCCCUGAGACUUAAAACUUGCCUUAUCCAACUGUCCUAAGUUACAGCAGGGAGGUCCACCCGGAGAGAGUGGCUCACACGGUGUCCUACUGCCCAGCCAGGACAACGACCUGUCACACUUCGUCUGCUCCUAAAAUUGCUUCAUGGUAGAGGAGCCCAAUAUAUAGGGGCCUU
This is a long non-coding RNA of Artibeus jamaicensis (Jamaican fruit-eating bat), 1170 nucleotides long. RefSeq lists it as uncharacterized. The record is from RefSeq and is a predicted model, not a curated record. The transcript is spliced from 3 exons. NCBI's taxonomy places the organism in Eukaryota, Metazoa, Chordata, Mammalia, Chiroptera, Phyllostomidae.